Solea senegalensis (Senegalese sole) is the source of this 582-nucleotide long non-coding RNA. RefSeq lists it as uncharacterized. The transcript is spliced from 2 exons. The record is from RefSeq and is a predicted model, not a curated record. Lineage: Eukaryota; Metazoa; Chordata; Actinopteri; Pleuronectiformes; Soleidae.
CGACCACCGCUGUCACCCGUGUUCUCCGAAAUCACCGUCUUCUACUCUUCCCCUUUCUUCACUUCACUCUCUGCCUCUUCUCCACCUCCACCUGUGAUGCUGCACCCACACGAGCAUGUCUGGACCACUGGAUCAAUGAUUCAAGGCCUCCUGUAGCAGCGAGCUUAUAAAAAUCCCAAACUCACGCUACGGGCACUGGCAGCGAUGCACCUCAUAAAGCAGAGCGAGAACUUUUGAGGGGGAUACGACUCCAGUCAUCCUUGCUCAGAACCUGCCCUUGAUGUUUGGAGGGCAAACACCGCAGACACUGACCAUUGUACUACUGUGAUAUUACUCCUUCAAUCUGCCAAGACACCACCACUGUCACCAAGACGACCCUUCAACAGAGACGUCAGAGGGGAACAUGAGCAAUUAACUGCCAAGAACAAGAAAAUGACUACACAUUAUUAGACUUUAUGCAAAAGCUGUCAGAGCCUCCUCCUGUUGUCAGUGAUUUCCUGUUACUCCACUGAGUGCUGUAUGUCAUAAAUGCUCUAAUGCCAGCAUCACUGUUAAUAAAGUAUGAACUAUUACAAGGGUUAA